This 74-nucleotide transfer RNA is filed under the name Loxodonta africana (African savanna elephant). It matches the Rfam family "tRNA". Rfam says of the family: Transfer RNA (tRNA) molecules are approximately 80 nucleotides in length. Their secondary structure includes four short double-helical elements and three loops (D, anti-codon, and T loops). Further hydrogen bonds mediate the characteristic L-shaped molecular structure. tRNAs have two regions of fundamental functional importance: the anti-codon, which is responsible for specific mRNA codon recognition, and the 3' end, to which the tRNAs corresponding amino acid is attached (by aminoacyl-tRNA synthetases). tRNAs cope with the degeneracy of the genetic code in two manners: having more than one tRNA (with a specific anti-codon) for a particular amino acid; and 'wobble' base-pairing, i.e. permitting non-standard base-pairing at the 3rd anti-codon position. The record is from Rfam by way of RNAcentral. Lineage: Eukaryota; Metazoa; Chordata; Mammalia; Proboscidea; Elephantidae.
CCCUGGGUGAUGCAAAUGGUUAGCAUGUUCGGCUGCUAACCGGAAUGUUGGUGGCUCAAGUCCACCCAGAGGUG